AGCAGCAGGCGCGAAAACUCUACAAUGCAGGCAACUGCGAUAGGUGAACAUCGAGUGGCACCCACCAUGGGUGUCUGUCCAGCCGUCUUAUAAACGGCUGUUAGCAAGGGCCGGGUAAGACCGGUGCCAGCCGCCGCGGUAAUACCGGCGGCUCGAGUGGUAGCCGAUAUUAUUGAGUCUAAAGGGUCCGUAGCCGGCUUUGCAAGUCCCCUGGGAAAUCCAGCGGCUUAACCGUUGGGCUUCCAUGGGAUACUACAUUGCUUGGGACUGGGAGAGGUAGGAGGUACUCAGGGGGUAGGGGUGAAAUCCUGUAAUCCUCUGGGGAUCACCGGUGGCGAAGGCGUCCUACCAGAACAGGUCCGACGGUGAGGGACGAAAGCUAGGGGCACGAACCGGAUUAGAUACCCGGGUAGUCCUAGCCGUAAACGAUGCUCGCUAGGUGUCACGGCAGUCGUGAAUUGUCGUGGUGCCGUAGGGAAGCCGUGAAGCGAGCCACUUGGGAAGUACGACCGCAAGGUUGAAACUUAAAGGAAUUGGCGGGGGA
RNAcentral lists this ribosomal RNA (544 nucleotides) under uncultured methanogenic archaeon. Its description in RNAcentral is "bacterial SSU rRNA". It matches the Rfam family "Archaeal small subunit ribosomal RNA", at positions 331 to 875 of the family's 1478-position model. The record is from RNAcentral. Lineage: Archaea; Methanobacteriati; Methanobacteriota.